RNAcentral lists this ribosomal RNA (408 nucleotides) under uncultured bacterium. RNAcentral describes it as "bacterial SSU rRNA". It matches the Rfam family "Bacterial small subunit ribosomal RNA", at positions 28 to 426 of the family's 1533-position model. The record is from RNAcentral.
GAUGAACGCUGGCGGCGUGCCUAAUACAUGCAAGUCGAGCGGUAAGGUUCUCACUCUGUAUUUAACGAGUUUGAAUAUAGUGUGAGAAUACACGAGCGGCGGACGGCUGAGUAACACGUAGGAACGUACCCCAAAGUGAGGCAUAAGCAUCAGAAAUGAUGUCUAAUACCGCAUGUGAUCUUCGGAUUAAAGCUUCGGCGCUUUGGGAACGGCCUGCGCAUGAUUAGCUUGUUGGUGAGGUAAUAGCUCACCAAGGCGACGAUCAUUAGCUGGUCUGAGAGGAUGAUCAGCCAGACUGGGACUGAGAACGGCCCAGACUCCUACGGGAGGCAGCAGUAGGGAAUUUUCCACAAUGGGCGAAAGCCUGAUGGAGCAACGCCGCGUGCAGGAUGAAUGCCUUCGGGUUGU